CCAAACUCCUACGGGAGGCAGCAGUGAGGAAUAUUGGUCAAUGGGCGAGAGCCUGAACCAGCCAAGUAGCGUGCAGGAUGACGGCCCUAUGGGUUGUAAACUGCUUUUAUAAGGGAAUAAAGUGAGUCUCGUGAGGCUUUUUGCAUGUACCUUAUGAAUAAGGACUGGCUAAUUCCGUGC
RNAcentral lists this ribosomal RNA (180 nucleotides) under uncultured bacterium. RNAcentral describes it as "partial 16S ribosomal RNA". It matches the Rfam family "Bacterial small subunit ribosomal RNA", at positions 331 to 508 of the family's 1533-position model. The record is from RNAcentral.